This 415-nucleotide ribosomal RNA is filed under the name uncultured eukaryote. RNAcentral describes it as "bacterial SSU rRNA". It matches the Rfam family "Eukaryotic small subunit ribosomal RNA", at positions 592 to 1013 of the family's 1831-position model. The record is from RNAcentral.
CAAUAGCGUAUAUUUAAGUUGUUGCAGUUAAAAAGCUCGUAGUUGGAUUUUGGGUGCGGCAGGCCGGUCCGCCGUUUCGGUGUGCACUGGCAGGCGGCAUCUUUCUGUCGAGGACGCGCUCCGGGGUUUACGCCUCGGACGCGGAGUCGGCGCAGUUACUUUGAAAAAAUUAGAGUGUUCAAAGCGGGCUUACGCUUGAAUAUAUUAGCAUGGAAUAACACUAUAGGACUCCUGUCCUAUUCUGUUGGUCUUCGGGAUGGGAGUAAUGAUUAAGAGGAACAGUUGGGGGCAUUCGUAUUUCAUUGUCAGAGGUGAAAUUCUUGGAUCGCCGUAAGACGAACUACUGCGAAAGCAUUUGCCAAGAAUGUUUUUCAUUAAUCAAGAUCGAAAGUCAGAGGUUCGAAGAUGAUCAGAU